AUCUCUCACAGAACCACUUGAUUUCAAAUCGGGAGGUCUCUGUCGGUGUUGGAGGCUGCAACUGUCCUACAAUUGCUCCUCUCAAAUGAAUUGGUGCGGCCCGCUGCACAGUCAACCACAACGUUCUAGGUUCAUUCCAACUCGUUGCUCGACUGUCGCUACAAUUGGUUGCUGCACCUAAAGCCCGCCUCGUGCCUCGUGCUCUUGGCAUCACUUCAUU
This 220-nucleotide unclassified non-coding RNA is filed under the name uncultured fungus. RNAcentral's name for it is "sequence contains ITS2". The record is from RNAcentral. Lineage: Eukaryota; Fungi.